This is a long non-coding RNA of Lontra canadensis (Northern American river otter), 1722 nucleotides long. RefSeq lists it as uncharacterized. The record is from RefSeq and is a predicted model, not a curated record. Lineage: Eukaryota; Metazoa; Chordata; Mammalia; Carnivora; Mustelidae. The transcript is spliced from 3 exons.
AAAAUUUAAGAGAUCAGAGUUUGGGGUCUCAACUGAAAUAAGGGGGGGCAGAAAUAGAAAGAUAGAAUUGGCCUGUUUUAAUCUUCCCGGUGUAAGAUACGGAGAUGGUGGUUUUGCUCUCUAGUGUAUCCUUCAGGCAGAGGGUAGUACGACAUUCAGGAAUAAAGAACGGCAAUAAAUAGAUGAAUAAAUGGGGUAAAGAACCCAAGGUUACAAGAGUGUUAGGAAACAUUCCUACCUACCCAAAGGCAACUCACAAUAUCCAGGAGUUCCAUAAAGAAAAAUCCCAGAUAAGCCAAUUUGUAUUACCCUAAUCUAAACAAUCUUCAGUAUGAAAGUAUAAUGGAACAUGUUAAUGCUUUUAAUUAACAAAGCACAUUAGACUGGGACAAAUUUGAGGUCAGAGUUCUUAACUUUUGUGCGACAGACCACACUGGCAGUCUGGUGAAGCCAUGGACUCUUCUAAGAAUAAUGUUUCUAAAUGUAUAAAGUAAAAUUCAUAGCAAUGGUAAUAAUAUGAUAUAAAGUAUCUCAUUCCUAGUGGUGAUACAGACAUAGGUAUAGCUGUUUGUCGCUUACAUUCAAAAUUGAAGGAAAUGCUAAAUUUCAGUUAGAGAUUAGUAAAAAUAAAGAUGUAUUUUUUCUCCCCCAUCAAAGUUCACAUACUCCCUGGAUUCUGUCCAUGAACUUCAUGAUAAAAAAUUUUUGGUAAAGUCUAGUGGGCUUACUCUUCUUGGUAAGUCUUGAAGGGAUUGUGAAAUUUUAACAUGCAGUUAUAAUUUAUAUUCAUAACAGUAGUGAUUAAUUUAAAAAAGUUUAAUUACUACCAAUAUACUCAUUAAGAAUGCAUGGAAGUACAUACUAGUUUUAGGAAAUAGUUUUAUUUCAUUUGUUGAUUUUUUUUUUUUUAAACUAUACCUAUAAAUAUAUCCUAUAGAAGACUUUCCUGUCCAGAUGACUUAUUCCCCAAGCAUUCUGGUAACUUAGGUUUUACUAUGUCAUUCUUACUUAUCACAUACCUUUGCAAAUACGAUGUGGUAGAAGAAGUAAAAUGAAAAUAAUAGCCAAAGAUGAAAUUAAAAUACUGUAUAAAUUUCUUAAUGAGUGUUAAUCAUUAUUUUUUGAAGUACUGUGAGUGGGGUCUUUUAAUUCAUUAUCUUAUCAAAUCUCUUUUAUAUAGAUGAAACACUCAGGGUCUUAAAAUUAUUAACUAAUUGUCAGGAUUUAAACCUAGGCAGUUCGACCUCAAAUCUCACACUCAACUAGUAAGCUGUUUGAUUAUUUUUUAGUCCUUUGAUUAUUAGCCAAUAUUAAUUUGCCCAAUAGUGCAACAAGUACAUAUUUGCUGUCACAACUUCUUAUGCAUUUCUUAGUAUUCCAAGUAAAAUUCCACCGAGUGACUGAAAGGAAUUUUCUAAACUUUUCCUUUGCAGCAGUAUUGGUUAUGGUAUCCAACACCACCUUUAAAUAAGUGGGUGACCGUUUGGGGCUGGACAAUUGUUAUGCGGAGGUUCUUGUUGCAAUAGAAGUUUUGCUUAGAAAAAUCCACUUGUGCCUUUGCCUGCCCUACAGACAUACUUUCUCAUCUGAAAUCAAACGUUUGUUUUAUAAUGGUGUCACUAUAUUUUUAUGUUGGCCACUGUCAAGAUUGUAUACAAGAAAUAAUGACAUACAAAUAAAUGUUAAUAUAUGAAAGUCUAGAAUAUAUAUGCCUGGAGACAA